GGCUGGUGGUCCAGGCGGGCUGGGCCCAGCGGGGAGCCAAGGAGUAGAGGUUGCCCAGGCUCUCUGGAGAGAAACAGAGGGACAGAAAGCAGGGGCUGGUGUGUUUUUCAGGAAGGAAAUCUUCGCUGCUGUAACAGUCUGGGAGUCUCGGCUCAGCCCAGCAGUCCAGCCCCGCCAGGAAGCGCCCCCUCCCGCCACGCUCGCUGGUCCCAGGCAAACACUUUAGAGGACAGGAAGGGGAGAGGUGAGAACAAACAUACACGGCACUUACUCAGUGCCGGGCACCGUUCUAAGCUCUUCGCCCGGACCGAGCUACCAGCAAUGGCCGCAGCUUCACGCUUUGAUGAGGAGGAGACUGAAGCACAGACGGGUGGACAAGAAGCCCAGAGCCAUUAGAACCACAUUCAAGACAAGCAGAGCGAAGAACAAGGACGGGUUGAAGCUGAGUCCAUCUCUCUUUAUCAGGAAAGAAAAGCCCUCCUCAAAGCUACCCCAGCCAAUUAUCUGCUUCUAUAUCAUAGGCAGAGGAUGGGGAUGGAUGUUGGGCAACUGACCACUAGUGUCUGCCACGAUGGAUGCCAGCACCCCGGCUGCCAGACGUUGUUGCCGUGGGUCAGCCUGGGCCCAGCCCCACCUGGCCCCACUCAAGUGAGCCUCCAGCCACCCACCCACAGCCGUGGUUGGUCCUGCAACCAGCGAGAGUUCAGCCUGGAAUGAUACCAAGAGCUUUCUUCCAGCUCAAGGCAGGCCUCAAAAAUUGUCUCCAAGCUUCUGGUGAGGGAUACAAGGCAACUUCCUGCCCUGUGUGGGAGCCAGUUGGUUUGGUCUCAGGCUUCUAGAACAUUCCAUCUGCCUUGAUCUCUGACAUGGAAAGGAAGUCUAACCCUGUGUCCAGGAGACACACUGGCUCCCACCAGCCCUUUCCCAGUGUGGAAUCCUGCCUUGAGCACCCAUCCUGGCUGCACCACCUGGCUAACAAGCUUCUUCUCCGACCAUCUGCUCUGCCUGUCCAUCCCUCUCUCUUUCACGUGGCUUCCUGAUACUUCCUGGACAGGUGUUGGCCAUUCUGCCCUGGAUAUGGCUGUCUGCAUGAGCUGGGGCUAUCUUGCCAUUGCCCCAAGCCUCUGGGCCCAGCCACACAGUCCCAGAAUGCCAUCAUUCUUUCAGAAAUAUUUUUUAAUCAGAAGAGUACGGGGGCACCUGGUGGCUCAGUUGGUUAAGCAUCCAACUCUUGAUUUCAGCUCAGGUCAUGACCUCAGGGUCGUGAGAUCAAGCCCCACAUUAGCCUCCAUGCUGAGUGUGAAGGCUGCUUAAGAUUCUCUCUCCCUCUCUUUCUGCCCCUCCCCCACCCACUCACCUGCUUGUGCUCUCUCUCUCUCUCUCAAAACAAAAAACGAGUACAGGGGUGCCUGGGUGGCUCAGUCGUUAAGCAUCUGCCUUCGGCUCAAGUCAUGAUCCCAGGGUCCUGGGAUCAGGCCCUGCAUCGGGCUCCCUGCUCGGUGGGAAGCCUGCUUCUCCCUCUCCCACUCCCCCUGCUUGUGUUCCCUCUCUCGCUGUGUCUCUCUCUGUCAAAUAAGUAAAUAAAAACUUUUAAAAAAAGAGUACAUGGUGGGGAGAGGUGCCUGGCUGGCUCAGUCAGUGGAGUGUGUGACUCUUGAUCUCAGGGUCAUGAGUUCAAGCCCAUGUUGGGUGUAGAGCCUACUUAAAAAUAAAAGAGUACAUGGGAAUUCCAUUUUUAGCAAAAUGACAGUGAGCGAUAGGCAGUCAUCAUUCUAAUAAUAGCCGACACUUACAUAGCACUUACUACAUCUGGACACCAUUCUAAACAUUUUAUAUGUUUGUUCACAGUUACCCUCUGUGGUGGGAAUAUCAGUCUUCCAUUUUUCAGA
Mirounga angustirostris (Northern elephant seal) is the source of this 1889-nucleotide long non-coding RNA. RefSeq lists it as uncharacterized. Lineage: Eukaryota; Metazoa; Chordata; Mammalia; Carnivora; Phocidae. The record is from RefSeq and is a predicted model, not a curated record. The transcript has 3 exons.